RNAcentral lists this transfer RNA (75 nucleotides) under Betaproteobacteria bacterium. RNAcentral's name for it is "tRNA-His". It matches the Rfam family "tRNA". Rfam says of the family: Transfer RNA (tRNA) molecules are approximately 80 nucleotides in length. Lineage: Bacteria; Pseudomonadati; Pseudomonadota; Betaproteobacteria. The record is from RNAcentral.
GUGGAUGUAGCUCAGCGGUAGAGUCCUGGAUUGUGAUUCCAGUUGUCGUGGGUUCGAACCCCAUCAUCCACCCCA